AUUGAACGCUGGCGGCAGGCCUAACACAUGCAAGUCGAGCGGAUGAGAGGAGCUUGCUCCUUGAUUUAGCGGCGGACGGGUGAGUAAUGCCUAGGAAUCUGCCUGGUAGUGGGGGAUAACGUCCGGAAACGGGCGCUAAUACCGCAUACGUCCUACGGGAGAAAGCAGGGGACCUUCGGGCCUUGCGCUAUCAGAUGAGCCUAGGUCGGAUUAGCUAGUUGGUGAGGUAAUGGCUCACCAAGGCGACGAUCCGUAACUGGUCUGAGAGGAUGAUCAGUCACACUGGAACUGAGACACGGUCCAGACUCCUACGGGAGGCAGCAGUGGGGAAUAUUGGACAAUGGGCGAAAGCCUGAUCCAGCCAUGCCGCGUGUGUGAAGAAGGUCUUCGGAUUGUAAAGCACUUUAAGUUGGGAGGAAGGGCAUUAACCUAAUACGUUAGUGUUUGACGUACCGACAGA
Molecule: ribosomal RNA, 460 nt
Filed under: Pseudomonas sp. ITSI78
Lineage: Bacteria; Pseudomonadati; Pseudomonadota; Gammaproteobacteria; Pseudomonadales; Pseudomonadaceae
Description: bacterial SSU rRNA
Rfam family: Bacterial small subunit ribosomal RNA
Source: RNAcentral